RNA transcript from Homo sapiens (human), 856 nucleotides. It is a transcript of the gene named fatty acid binding protein 5 pseudogene 3, with no coding region annotated. Lineage: Eukaryota; Metazoa; Chordata; Mammalia; Primates; Hominidae. The record is from RefSeq and is marked provisional. The transcript has 2 exons.
CGCGAGGAGCAAAUGUGCGCCCGCACGGCGAGGGCAGCCCGGGCUUCGCUGGUUCUCGCCGAGGUCUUUCCUCGUAGCGCCCACACUACGGGGAGGAAAAGGAAUGGAGUCAACUUCGUUCGAAUCCAACGCCAGCAAGUCAUCUUUGCACUCAUAACCACAUCUUUUAUGGAACAUCAAGCCUACUCUGAGGUACAGGCUUUCAGAAGCCUGAAUUUGGAGGACCAUGCCUGAACCAAAUGGAGUCUCCAGAAUCAAAACUGCUCAAAAUAAUCAUUCAUGGUUCUCAGACCAAAUAAGAUCUACUUAGAAACAUUUCUCGACAGCACGCUGCCAUGCCGACGCAGACCCCACUCUGCACGCCAGCCCCCCUGCACCCACCAUGGCCACAGUUCAGCAGCUAGAAGGAAGAUGGCGCCUGGUGGACAACAAAGGCUUUGAUGAAUACAUGAAGGAGCUAGGAGUGGGAAUAGCUUUGUGAAAAAUGGGCGCAAUGGCCAAGCCAGAUUGUAUCAUCACUUGUGAUAGCAAAAACCUCACCAUAAAAACUGAGAGCACUUUGAAAACAACACAGUUUUCUGGUACCCUGGGAGAGAAGUUUGAAGAAAACACAGCUGAUGGCAGAAGAACUCAGACUGUUUGCAACUUUACAGAUGGUGCAUUGGUUCAGCAUCAGGAGUGGGAUGGGAAGGAAAGCACAAUAACAAGAAAACUGAAAGAUGGGAAAUUAGUGGUGGAGCGUGUCAUGAACCAUGUCGCCUGUACUCGGAUCUAUGAAAAAGCACAAUAAAGAUUCCAUCAUCACUUUGGACAGGAGUUAACCAAGAGAAUGACCAAGCUCAGUUCAAUGAACAAA